Nannospalax galili (Upper Galilee mountains blind mole rat) is the source of this 281-nucleotide long non-coding RNA. RefSeq lists it as uncharacterized. NCBI's taxonomy places the organism in Eukaryota, Metazoa, Chordata, Mammalia, Rodentia, Spalacidae. The record is from RefSeq and is a predicted model, not a curated record. The transcript is spliced from 3 exons.
GGAUCAUGUUGCAGAACAAAUUCUUCACAGAAACCGGCAGGAAACCAAUCAAUAACCAUCUCCAUGGCAGCCUUUGGGCUUACCAUGUCACGAGGCCAACAUCUUGUGUGCAGCCCAGUCUAGAAACUGUGGUAACAGUGGAAUAUGGCUUCCCCCUCAGCAGAGGAACUGUGCUCCACCUGUGGACUCAUAAAUGGACUACUUCCAGGCUUUAUUUAUUGAGUUAAGCUGUAAAGAACAUCCCUGUGCAAGUAUUUUGUGGACUUAUAUUUCAUUUCUCU